UAUAAUGUGGGUAUCUGCCCUUUGGUUUGGAAUAACACGAGGAAACUUGUGCUAAUACCGGAUAAGCCUUCACAGGGAAAGCUUUAGCGCCAAAGGAUGAGCUCGCACUUGAUUAGCUAGUUGGUAGGGUAAUGGCCUACCAAGGCAACGAUCAAUAGCUGUUCUUAGAGGAAGACCAGCCACAUUGGGACUGAGACACGGCCCAAACUCCUACGGGAGGCAGCAGUGGGGAAUCUUGCACAAUGGGGGAAACCCUGAUGCAGCGAUGCCGCGUGAGUGAAGAAGGCCUUUGGGUUGUAAAGCUCUUUCGUCGGGGAAGAAAAUGACUGUACCCGAAUAAGAAGGUCCGGCUAACUUCGUGCCAGCAGCCGCGGUAAUACGAAGGGACCUAGCGUAGUUCGGAAUUACUGGGCUUAAAGAGCUCGUAGGUGGUUAAGAAAGUUGGUGGUGAAAUC
This 455-nucleotide ribosomal RNA is filed under the name uncultured Pelagibacterales bacterium. RNAcentral describes it as "bacterial SSU rRNA". It matches the Rfam family "Bacterial small subunit ribosomal RNA", at positions 111 to 601 of the family's 1533-position model. The record is from RNAcentral. Lineage: Bacteria; Pseudomonadati; Pseudomonadota; Alphaproteobacteria; Candidatus Pelagibacterales.